This 253-nucleotide ribosomal RNA is filed under the name uncultured bacterium. RNAcentral describes it as "partial 16S ribosomal RNA". It matches the Rfam family "Bacterial small subunit ribosomal RNA", at positions 524 to 776 of the family's 1533-position model. The record is from RNAcentral.
UACGUAGGGGGCAAGCGUUGUUCGGAAUUACUGGGCGUAAAGGGCGCGUAGGCGGCACAGCAAGUCGGGAGUGAAAGCCCGGGGCUCAACCCCGGAAUGGCUUUCGAAACUGCUGAGCUAGAGUACAGAAGGGGCAACCGGAAUUCCCAGUGUAGCGGUGAAAUGCGUAGAUAUUGGGAAGAACACCUGAGGCGAAGGCGGUUAGCUGGGCAGUAGCUGACACUGAGGCGCGACAGCGUGGGGAGCAAACAGG